AGGAAAAGAAACCAACAGGGAUUGCCCUAGUAACGGCGAGUGAAGCGGCAACAGCUCAAAUUUGAAAUCUGGCUCUCGGGCCCGAGUUGUAAUUUGUAGAGGAUACUUUUGAUGCGGUGCCUUCCGAGUUCCCUGGAACGGGACGCCAUAGAGGGUGAGAGCCCCGUCUGGUUGGAUGCCAAAUCUCUGUAAAGUUCCUUCGACGAGUCGAGUAGUUUGGGAAUGCUGCUCUAAAUGGGAGGUAUAUGUCUUCUAAAGCUAAAUACCGGCCAGAGACCGAUAGCGCACAAGUAGAGUGAUCGAAAGAUGAAAAGCACUUUGAAAAGAGAGUUAAAAAGUACGUGAAAUUGUUGAAAGGGAAGCGUUUAUGACCAGACUUGGGCUUGGUUAAUCAUCUGGGGUUCUCCCCAGUGCACUUUUCCAGUCCAGGCCAGCAUCAGUUUUCCCCGGGGGAUAAAGACUUCGGGAAUGUGGCUCUCUUCGGGGAGUGUUAUAGCCCGUUGUGUAAUACCCUGGGGGGGACUGAGGUUCGCGCAUCUGCAAGGAUGCUGCCGUAAUGCC
Molecule: ribosomal RNA, 561 nt
Filed under: Fusarium proliferatum
Lineage: Eukaryota; Fungi; Ascomycota; Sordariomycetes; Hypocreales; Nectriaceae
Description: partial large subunit ribosomal RNA
Rfam family: Eukaryotic large subunit ribosomal RNA
Source: RNAcentral